ACUGCUGAUCUCUGCUGCUGGAUCUCUGGUGAUUGUAGUUGUGAUUGUGUUGUUUUGUAUCUGGAGGAAACACAGAAAUGCAGUUCAUGAAGACGAGACUCCAGCUGCUGCAUUACUCUACAAACACAUGGGACUAAUGAGAGAAUCAGACGUGACGGAGGUGAUUUACACGUGUUUCAUUACAGAACACUGUAACUGAUUCGGUUUCCUCACAAAUCAUGUAGCCUAUUGAUCGCAAGAAAUGCAUCUGGCUUUUGCACUCGUACUAGAAAUAAAAAAAAUAUAAAAUUCUAACCAUUUUUACACUUACUGGUAAAAUGUGAUGAGGAUUCUGCUAUUAUAAGUAUAAGUAUACUGUAUAACUUAAAACAUUGAUUUGAGCUUCUGCACUGCUCAGUUUCUCCAGAAGAAAAGACCAAA
Carassius auratus (goldfish) is the source of this 420-nucleotide long non-coding RNA. RefSeq lists it as uncharacterized. Lineage: Eukaryota; Metazoa; Chordata; Actinopteri; Cypriniformes; Cyprinidae. The transcript is spliced from 3 exons. The record is from RefSeq and is a predicted model, not a curated record.